GACGAACGCUGGCGGCGUGCUUAACACAUACAAGUCGAACGGUGAAGCGCCUUCCUUUUUGGUGGGUGUGGAUGAGUGGCGAACGGGUGAGUAACACGUGAGUAACCUGCCCCCUUCUUCUGGAUAACCGCAUGAAAGUGUGGCUAAUACGGGAUAUUCUGGGUCUGUCGCAUGAUGGGUCUGGGAAAGAUAUUGUUUCGGUGGGGGAUGGGCUCGCGGCCUAUCAGCUUGUUGGUGGGGUGAUGGCCUACCAAGGCGGUGACGGGUAGCCGGCCUGAGAGGGUGGACGGUCACACUGGGACUGAGGCACGGCCCAGACUCCUACGGGAGGCAGCAGUGGGGAAUAUUGCACAAUGGGCGCAAGCCUGAUGCAGCGACGCCGCGUGAGGGAUGGAGGCCUUCGGGUUGUGAACCUCUUUCGCCAGUGAAGCAGGCCUGCCUCGUUUGUGGGUGGGUUGACGGUAGCUGGAUAAGAAGCGCCGGCUAACUACGUG
RNAcentral lists this ribosomal RNA (494 nucleotides) under uncultured bacterium. RNAcentral's name for it is "partial 16S ribosomal RNA". It matches the Rfam family "Bacterial small subunit ribosomal RNA", at positions 28 to 507 of the family's 1533-position model. The record is from RNAcentral.